This is a long non-coding RNA of Beta vulgaris subsp. vulgaris (sugar beet), 1569 nucleotides long. RefSeq lists it as uncharacterized. The record is from RefSeq and is a predicted model, not a curated record. The transcript has 3 exons. Lineage: Eukaryota; Viridiplantae; Streptophyta; Magnoliopsida; Caryophyllales; Amaranthaceae.
CCUAUUUGAAAUUAACUAAGAGGGCAAAAUAAUGUAAAGUAUUUGUCUUCAUUAAAAAAAAAGUAAAGUAUUUGUCCUCCUUGAUAUUCAUAAUCCAUAACUUUUUAAAAGUGGCAAAAUAUUUACUGUAGCAAUCAAAAUAUUCAUAAUCUCUCUCUGAAAGCAUCAGCAAGUAACAGAGGAAGGGAGGAACCUGAAAAAUUAGCAAUCAGUCAAAACUCUCUCUCUCAUCUUAUGGAGCUUCAAUUAUCUCGUCAAUGGCGGCCUCUGAGACCGUCAAUGUAUCAUCUUCUAGACAAGCUUGCGGAAAUGUACUUGUUGUUUUCAUCCUCAUAUUGAUCGGAGUUCUCGCUUUCUCGAUCCGUCUCUUCUCUGUCAUCAAGUACGAGAGCGUCAUUUAUGAAUUCGAUCCGUAUUUUAAUUAUCGAGUUACUCAGGUCUUCGAUCUAAUUUUCAUGCUGAAAUAUUAUUUUUUCCGUCGAAUUCUGAAAUUACAGUACUUUCUACAAUUUGGACUUGCGGAGUUUUUGCCUUUUUUUUAGGUUUAUGUGUCUUUUAAACAUAAUGAUUUGUUGAAGAUGCUGAAUUUUGCAAGUUAGGUUAUUAGGUGUUAGAUAGUCAGCGGAUAGCAAGUGUUAGGGUUAAUUUUCUGUUUAUUUUGCUUCCAUUUUUUUUCCCUUGCGCCUUUCAUAUUAUCAACAUUUCCACAUUUUUUUCCCCUGUACUGCUUUGAAAUGUUAAUAUCUACAGAAAUGUGUAGUACUAAAGAUAAACUAUUGUUUAUUGCUGGUGUAAGAGGGACUAGGUAUAGUGAAUGAUGAUGUUUCAAGUCAAUUAGCAAAUGCAGUUCAAGUGGAGUUUUCGGGUUGCGGAAUAAUAUUGAGCUUUUGGAGACCAUUCAGGUUUAUCUUGCUUAUAAGAAAACAUCAAUGUCUUAAGGCGCACCUGAUGUAUGGACUCACGAACCAUUAAGGAUGGUCACUUCUUGAACAUGAUAAGAUGAUUUGAGGCAAAGUUUUUUAAACCUUAGAGACUUAAUUCCUCAUGGGAGUGUUAAUCCCUUAUGGGGGUUCAGUUGCAUGAAUCAAUAGUUCUCCUCGAAAUAAAAGCUUCUUAUACUAGGGUAAUUAUUUCAUAUAUGCAGUUGUUUGCCUUUGCCAAUCGUAUGCCUUGUAGUUCAUAUGAAAUGUGAACUUAUUCGUGUCUUGGUUGUAUCUCCAGCAGCCUGUGCGGCAUAUCCUUAAUAUAUUAUGAAAUUUUUAUGUGCUUAGUCGCUUAGUUUCAUACUAAUGUGGUAUUUAUAACUUGGUCCCCUACGCCUAAUUUUCUUUAAACAAUGAUGAUGUGCAUUAUUGGGAUGUAUCACGACUUUCUGGCAUUUCAUCUUAUGGUUUCAUUUUUGUUAAGUUAUUUCAGUUAUUAAUAAGUAGAUUAUAUCAAAUUCGUCAAGUAUAUAUGUUAUACUAUUCACAUAAAACUUUUAUGUCGGAAUUUAUUAAAACUUAUAAACUUAGGUGUAACAUCAUGAACAUAUUCAUAUUAGAAAUAUGUCCAAUAAAUUAAAGUUGU